GUCUAUGGCCACGCCACCCUGAACACGCCCAAUCCCGUCUGAUCUCGGAAGCUAAGCAGGGUCAGGCCUGGUUAGUACUUGGAUGGGAGACUACCUAGGUAGGCAUAAAUA
RNAcentral lists this ribosomal RNA (111 nucleotides) under Pteropus alecto (black flying fox). Lineage: Eukaryota; Metazoa; Chordata; Mammalia; Chiroptera; Pteropodidae. The record is from RNAcentral.